GAUGAACGCUGGCGGCGUGCCUAAUACAUGCAAGUCGAGCGAACAGAUGAGGAGCUUGCUCCUCUGACGUUAGCGGCGGACGGGUGAGUAACACGUGGAUAACCUACCUAUAAGACUGGGAUAACUUCGGGAAACCGGAGCGAAUACCGGACAAUAUAUUGAACCGCAUGGUUCAAUAGUGAAAGACGGUUUUGCUGUCACUUAUAGAUGGAUCCGCGCCGCAUUAGCUAGUUGGUAAGGUCACGGCCUACCAAGGCAACGAUGCGUAGCCCACCUGAGAGGGUGAUCGGCCGCACGGGAGCUGAGACGCGGUCCCGGCUCCUACGGGAGGCAGCAGUAGGGAAUCUUCCGCAGUAGUCGGGAGCCUGGCGGAGCAACGCCGCGUGUGUGAUGAAGGUCUUCGGAUCGUAAAGCUCUGUUAUUAGGGAAGAACAAAUGUGUAAGUAACUGUGCACGUCUUGACGGUACCUAAUCAGAAAGCCACGGCUAACUACGUG
This 497-nucleotide ribosomal RNA is filed under the name uncultured bacterium. RNAcentral describes it as "partial 16S ribosomal RNA". It matches the Rfam family "Bacterial small subunit ribosomal RNA", at positions 28 to 507 of the family's 1533-position model. The record is from RNAcentral.